UGAGUUUUCCUUGCUUGUCUCUCGGGGUCACAAACGAGCUCCUAGUAGCUCUCAUUUAUCACCCUGGGUAAAGUCCCCGGGCCAAGGAUAGAAAGUAUCAAGGCGUAAAAAAACAGUUGGUGCGACGAUCCCGCCGUCGUUUACAAUUUCGCCUAUAUUUCGCGGUAUUUCGCCUUGCGUACUCCAAUGAAGAGAGACCCCUUAUUAAGGGUCUCGAAUUGAUGCGCUCGGUUGACUGCGGAAAUGUGCCAGAGAACAUGAGAUAUGGACGAGUAGGGGGGCGUGUCACAGCGCCCGCCUACACGGAAUGGGGCUUACGUAGGGAAAUUC
This 330-nucleotide RNase MRP RNA is filed under the name Drosophila virilis. RNAcentral's name for it is "RNase MRP". It matches the Rfam family "RNase MRP". From Rfam's summary of the family: RNase MRP is an enzymatically active ribonucleoprotein with two distinct roles in eukaryotes. The record is from Rfam by way of RNAcentral. Lineage: Eukaryota; Metazoa; Arthropoda; Insecta; Diptera; Drosophilidae.